UGAGGAAUAUUGGUCAAUGGGCGUGAGCCUGAACCAGCCAAGUAGCGUGCAGGAAGACGGCCCUAUGGGUUGUAAACUGCUUUUAUGCGGGGAUAAAGGAGUCCACGUGUGGAUUUUUGCAGGUACCGCAUGAAUAAGGACCGGCUAAUUCCGUGCCAGCAGCCGCGGUAAUACGGAAGGUCCGGGCGUUAUCCGGAUUUAUUGGGUUUAAAGGGAGCGUAGGCCGCGUUUUAAGCGUGUUGUGAAAUGUAGACGCCCAACGUCUGCAUCGCAGCGCGAACUGGGACGCUUGAGUACGCGCAACGUUGGCGGAAUUCGUCGUGUAGCGAUGAAAUGCUUAGAUAUGACGAGGAACUCCGAUUGCGAAGGCAGCUGACGGGAGCGGCACUGACGCUUAAGCUCGAAGGUGCGGGUAUCAAACAGG
This 424-nucleotide ribosomal RNA is filed under the name Verrucomicrobiota bacterium. Its description in RNAcentral is "Verrucomicrobia bacterium partial 16S ribosomal RNA". It matches the Rfam family "Bacterial small subunit ribosomal RNA", at positions 355 to 776 of the family's 1533-position model. The record is from RNAcentral. Lineage: Bacteria; Pseudomonadati; Verrucomicrobiota.